Molecule: non-coding RNA, 3312 nt
Organism: Kogia breviceps (pygmy sperm whale)
Lineage: Eukaryota; Metazoa; Chordata; Mammalia; Artiodactyla; Physeteridae
Source: RefSeq, a predicted model, not a curated record
CAUGUAUUUUUAUUUUAUUCUAUUUAUUUUAUUUAUUUUAAUUUAUUUAUUUUUGGCUGUGUUGGGUCUUCAUUGCUGAGUGCAGGCUUUCUCUAGUUGCAGAGAGCAGGGGCUACUCUUCGUUGCAGUGCGCGGGCUUCUCAUUGCAGUGGCUUCUCUUAUUGCAGAGCAUGGGCUCUAGGCGCAUGGACUUCAGUAGUUGUGGCGUACGGGCUUAGUUGCUCCGCAGCAUGUGGUAUCUUACCAGCCCAGGUCCCCUGUGGAUUGUUAACCACUGUGCCACCAGGGAAGUCCCGAAAACUGAUAUAUUUUUUUAAAUUUCCUGCUAAAACAGCUCUUUUCUGAGGCUUUUCUUUUAAGAAUUUUGCAAUUUAGAAUUACUCUGUUAUCAUCUGGGCUUUCUCUUUUACUCUGGUGGCCACAGCUCAAGUGUUGGAGACCAACGACAUCAGAACUAUCUCAGUAGUCUAAAGAGUACUGUAGGAAUUAAAAGCAUAAAUGACCAACAUCAGAAUCUUCCCAGGGAUUUCCCUGGUGGUCCAGUGGGUAAGACUCCUUGGUCCCAAUGCAGGCGGCCCACGUUCGAACCCUGGGCUGGGAACCAGAUCCCACAUGCAUGCUUCAACUAAGACCCGGCACAGCCAAAAUAAAUAAAUAAUAAAAUAAAGUAAGUAAAUUUUUAAAAACUAGAAAAAGAUUAACAAGACUUGAUCUAUUUAAAAAAAAAAAAAAAAAAGAAUCCAGAUUUGGCAGAGACAAUUUGAGAACAGGAGAUUCCAAUCCCUAGGGCAAGGAAAAAAAAUGCAAAAUUAAAAAGAUAAGACAGGGCAACAGAUGGCAAAUUCCUAUGGCUUCCCACUUUUGCCUGCAAUUGACUGAAAAAAAAUUUUUUUUCAGAGAUGAUUUAGAAGUUGUGCUGUUUUAUUUUUAGGUAACAGUGAGAAAUUGCCUCAAAGUGUACGUGCCAACAUCGCUUUCCUGGUUCUGUGGCACUUCCUUAGAGAAGAACUUCAUUUCUACAGGAGCUGGUGAUUGAGGUGAAUCCUGUAAUAUAAAUAGGUUCACAGGAUACAUCCCCAGGGGUGAUUGACUAUGACCAGGACCUCCUGAGCUUUCAAUGCUUCCCUUGAAAUUUGCUUCCACAUGCAGACAGCGGCACAGGCGGAUGUGGAUCUGGGUCUUCUCCCCAGAGAAGGGAGCACUGAACACUUCAGCUUACAUAUCUCCUCGGGGCUCCUUAGUGGGAGCGGGGGGAGGGGGGGAAGCUGCUGCUGUGCAGUACUCCCUUUGUGGGGAAACCUGGAGUAGUCAGAACUUGGGAUGUCAGGGGAAACCUGGCUGACACACCACAGUAGGUCCCCAGGUUCCCAAGUACAGAGGCCUCUCCAUUUCCCUCCGAUGUCUUGGACUGGGCAGAGGGUGCAAGGACAGGGCCUCUCAGAGCUGUGCUUCCCAACAAGGGAAGAGCCAGGGUGGACGGACUCUGUCUAGGAAUGAUAGGCACUGGCAGAAACUGGACACGUGCCACCGUGCUAAAAAUGGGUCUCAUUCCAUCUGGCGCUCCAAAAACAAUGGAAGGCCACAAAGCUAUCAAGUGCGCUGCCUUCCUGUCAUAAGUGUUCUCUGGUCGCUCUUUUAGUCUUUGAAUUGGCUGUAAGUAGAAGGACAGAGAGAUGAAGUUAGAGAAAGCACUUCCUGGCUGGAGUAUACAGGCAGCGCCAUGCUAAUUGACAGUUUUGGCCUAAAAGAACCUCUUUUUUUGUUUGUUUUUUUGAGGGAGCAGUGCACAUAUGACUUCUGUAGGAGAUAAAGGGAGCAUCUGAGGCUGGGGUGACAUGCAAUAGCCAGAACCAACCUUGGCCUUCUUAUCCCAGCUUCCUCCUCUGCUGGGACCUCAGAGACGGUGCAAGUUGGUCUGCGAGCCCAUGUGCAAAAUUACCCCUGACACCACCCCACGCCCCUUCAGCCAGACCCCAGGAGCAAGCCAGGUUUCAACUUUGACUUUUAUCUCCUCCCCCACAAAACACACACCUUUUCGGCUAUGUGUGUAUAUUGGCUAAAAUUCCCCCCUUUUUUUUUUUCUAACUUCAGAGGAUUUCCACUUAAAUCUUCACAUUAGGCCCUUUGUGACAUCCUGUAAUGUUCCAAAAUGUUUUUAGUCCCUUGGAUGAAUUAAGUGAAUAAUAAUGCCAAAAGUAUCUCAUGAAAAAAAUGUAUAAAUAGAAAGCAUCGCUCUGAAUAUAAAAUUAUCAAAAUCAGUGGUUAAAACAGUAUGCUCUCAUUUCUGAUACCAGCCCUAUGAAGAAGGCAUACAGGAAGCACAGAUGUCCUUUGUUCCUGAAGCCAUAACUGGGCUGCUAUGAACUAAGGCCUUUGCAGAUAUAAUUGAGGAUCUCCAGAUGAGUUCAUCCUGGAUUUAACCCAAUAAGAGAGUUUUAAGACACAGAGAAACAGGGGAGAAGGCCUUGCAAGGAUGGGGGCAAAAACUGGAAUUAUGCUGCCGCCAGCCAAGGAACUGCAAGAGCCAAUAGAAGCUGGAGGAGGCAAGGAAGGAUUCUCCCUGAAAGCCUUUGGAGAACGCAUUGCCCUGCUGACACCGUGACUUCUGACUUGUGGACUCUGGGAAUAAACUUCUAUCGUUUUAAGUCACCAGGGACUUCCCUGGUGGCGCAGUGAGUUAGGGCUCUGCGCUCCCCACGCAGGGAGCCUGGGUUCAAUCCCUGUUCAGGAAACUAGAUCCCAUAUGCAUGCCACAACCAAGAGUUCACAUGCCACAACUAAGGAGGCUGCCUGCCGCAACUAAGACCUGGUGCAACCAAAUAAGUACAUCUAGAUACCCUGGAAGGGGAAGAAGUGGGAACACACCAGUGACUACUACCAUUUGAGAUGUGAGAACUCCAUGGAGAAAGACCAGAAGACUCACACGCUGCGCCAUGCUGAGGUGCAGAAGGCACAAGUGAAACUUUUUUAUUUAUAUAAAUAAACAUGUACGUGCAUAUCCAUAGAUGAUGUCUUGAUCAUUCAGCCUUUCCUUCAUUUAUUAAACACCCACUGUGUACCAUGGGAGGUAGAGCACAGAGGUGCUGGAGCAGAUGGGACUUGGAAUACUGACUUUGACACUUUCUAGCUGUGUGACCUGGGACAAAUUAUUUAACCUCUUCAUGCCUCAUUUUCCUCAUCUAUAAAAUGGUGAUAAUAUUAAAAGCUAUUUCACGCUUCCUUGAUAGCACAGUGGUUAAGAAUCCGCCUGCCAAUGCAGGGGACACGGGGUCGAGCCCUGGUCCGGGAAGAUCCCACAUGCUGUGGGGCAAC